RNAcentral lists this ribosomal RNA (445 nucleotides) under uncultured bacterium. RNAcentral's name for it is "partial 16S ribosomal RNA". It matches the Rfam family "Bacterial small subunit ribosomal RNA", at positions 354 to 796 of the family's 1533-position model. The record is from RNAcentral.
GUGAGGAAUAUUGGACAAUGGGCGCAAGCCUGAUCCAGCCAUGCCGCGUGCAGGAAGACGCAUCUAUGGUGUGUAAACUGCUUUUGUACGGGAAGAAACACUCCCUCGUGAGGGAGCUUGACGGUACCGUAAGAAUAAGGAUCGGCUAACUCCGUGCCAGCAGCCGCGGUAAUACGGAGGAUCCAAGCGUUAUCCGGAAUCAUUGGGUUUAAAGGGUCCGUAGGCGGUUUAAUAAGUCAGUGGUGAAAGCCCAUCGCUCAACGAUGGAACGGCCAUUGAUACUGUUAGACUUGAAUUACAAGGAAGUAAAUAGAAUAUGUAGUGUAGCGGUGAAAUGCUUAGAUAUUACAUGGAAUACCAAUUGCGAAGGCAGGUUACUACUUGUGGAUUGACGCUGAUGGACGAAAGCGUGGGGAGCGAACAGGAUUAGAAACCCGAGUAGUCC